CAAGCCUGAUCCAGCAAUGCCGCGUGCAGGAUGAAGGCCUUCGGGUUGUAAACUGCUUUUGUACGGAACGAAAAGCCUCUCUCUAAUACAGGGGGGUGAUGACGGUACCGUAAGAAUAAGCACCGGCUAACUACGUGCCAGCAGCCGCGGUAAUACGUAGGUGGCGAGCGUUGUCCGGAAUUACUGGGCGUAAAGGGUGUGCAGGCGGAUAUUUAAGUGAGAUGUGAAAGACCCGGGCUUAACCCGGGCAGUGCAUUUCAAACUGGAUAUCUAGAGUGCAGGAGAGGAGAACGGAAUUCCUAGUGUAGCGGUGAAAUGCGUAGAGAUUAGGAAGAACACCAGUGGCGAAGGCGGUUCUCUGGACUGUAACUGACGCUGAGGCACGAAAGCGUGGGUAGCAAACA
RNAcentral lists this ribosomal RNA (404 nucleotides) under uncultured bacterium. Its description in RNAcentral is "bacterial SSU rRNA". It matches the Rfam family "Bacterial small subunit ribosomal RNA", at positions 378 to 774 of the family's 1533-position model. The record is from RNAcentral.